RNAcentral lists this small RNA (87 nucleotides) under Kaistella antarctica. Its description in RNAcentral is "Chryseobacterium antarcticum Flavo-1 RNA". It matches the Rfam family "Flavo-1 RNA". Lineage: Bacteria; Pseudomonadati; Bacteroidota; Flavobacteriia; Flavobacteriales; Weeksellaceae. The record is from RNAcentral.
UACUAGCCCGGAUCGCAAUGGAAAUCCUUUUUUUUGCGUUGGCAAAAGCGGCUGUAAAAAAAAGAUUGUAAUGAAUCUCGUCUAAGG